AUUGAACGCUGGCGGCAGGCCUAACACAUGCAAGUCGAGCGGAUGAAGGGAGCUUGCUCCUGGAUUCAGCGGCGGACGGGUGAGUAAUGCCUAGGAAUCUGCCUGGUAGUGGGGGAUAACGUCCGGAAACGGGCGCUAAUACCGCAUACGUCCUGAGGGAGAAAGUGGGGGAUCUUCGGACCUCACGCUAUUAGAUGAGCCUAGGUCGGAUUAGCUAGUUGGUGGGGUAAAGGCCUACCAAGGCGACGAUCCGUAACUGGUCUGAGAGGAUGAUCAGUCACACUGGAGCUGAGACACGGUCCAGACUCCUACGGGAGGCAGCAGUGGGGAAUAUUGGACAAUGGGCGAAAGCCUGAUCCAGCCAUGCCGCGUGUGUGAAGAAGGUCUUCGGAUUGUAAAGCACUUUAAGUUGGGAGGAAGGGCAGUAAGUUAAUACCUUGCUGUUUUGACGUUACCAACAGAAUAAGCACCGGCUAACUUCGUG
This 484-nucleotide ribosomal RNA is filed under the name uncultured bacterium. Its description in RNAcentral is "partial 16S ribosomal RNA". It matches the Rfam family "Bacterial small subunit ribosomal RNA", at positions 30 to 507 of the family's 1533-position model. The record is from RNAcentral.